This is a long non-coding RNA of Ornithorhynchus anatinus (platypus), 451 nucleotides long. RefSeq lists it as uncharacterized. The transcript has 2 exons. Lineage: Eukaryota; Metazoa; Chordata; Mammalia; Monotremata; Ornithorhynchidae. The record is from RefSeq and is a predicted model, not a curated record.
UUUCAUCCCUGGGGAGCCUGGACGGACAGUCCAGAGAGGGUGAGGGAGGCUUAGCUAUUCCUGUGCUCUCCCUGCCAUGGGAGGGAGAACUGACACACCAUGAACCUCCGGAUGCUUGCAUUUCAGGUUUCCAUCUUCCUCAGAAUGAUUCCGGUUGGUGGGGUCUGGCUGUGAGUGGGACCCUGAACGUGAUCUGCCUUCUCAUCAUCACUGGUAUCGUCUGGAACAGUUUCAGGAGAAAGGGAUCAGUGACUCUGGACCCAGAUACCGUUAAUCUCAAUCUCGGAGUAUCUACGGAGCAGAGAAGAGGGCCCUGUGGCUGCAGAGCAGGCUGUGCCCCACAGCGAGGAGACAUUCCGGUCUUCUGAUGGGGUGGGUUGUCUCAGCUUCUCUACAAUUACAAGCCAGGAUUCUUACCUCAGACCACUAAUAAUGCUGCUGUUUGUCCCCC